RNAcentral lists this ribosomal RNA (445 nucleotides) under uncultured bacterium. Its description in RNAcentral is "bacterial SSU rRNA". It matches the Rfam family "Bacterial small subunit ribosomal RNA", at positions 354 to 796 of the family's 1533-position model. The record is from RNAcentral.
GUGAGGAAUAUUGCGCAAUGGAGGCAACUCUGACGCAGCCAUGCCGCGUGCAGGAAGAAGGCGCUACGCGUUGUAAACUGCUUUUAACCGGGAAGAAACCCCAGGACGUGUCCUGGGUUGACGGUACCGGAGGUAUAAGCACCGGCUAACUUCGUGCCAGCAGCCGCGGUAAUACGAAGGGUGCAAGCGUUAUCCGGAUUCAUUGGGUUUAAAGGGUGCGUAGGCGGAGCGUUAAGUCAGUGGUGAAAUCCUGCAGCUUAACUGUAGACUUGCCAUUGAUACUGGCGCUCUUGAGUGCGCUUGAAGUGGGCGGAAUGUGCCGUGUAGCGGUGAAAUGCUUAGAUAUGGCACAGAACACCAAUUGCGAAGGCAGCUCACUAAGGCGAUACUGACGCUGAGGCACGAAAGCGUGGGGAUCGAACAGGAUUAGAAACCCGGGUAGUCC